UACGUAGGGUGCGAGCGUUAGUCGGAAUUACUGGGCGUAAAGUGUGCGCAGGCGGCCGCGCAAGUCGAGUGUGAAAGCCCCGGGCUUAACUUGGGAAUUGCGCUCGAAACUACGUGGCUGGAGUGUGGCAGAGGAAGGUGGAAUUCCAGGUGUAGCGGUGAAAUGCGUAGAUAUGCGGAGGAACACCGAUGGCGAAGGCAAUCCCCUGGACCUGUACUGACGCUCAUGCACGAAAGCGUGGGGAGCAAACAGG
RNAcentral lists this ribosomal RNA (253 nucleotides) under uncultured bacterium. RNAcentral describes it as "partial 16S ribosomal RNA". It matches the Rfam family "Bacterial small subunit ribosomal RNA", at positions 524 to 776 of the family's 1533-position model. The record is from RNAcentral.